Selaginella moellendorffii is the source of this 1789-nucleotide long non-coding RNA. RefSeq lists it as uncharacterized. The record is from RefSeq and is a predicted model, not a curated record. The transcript is spliced from 9 exons. Lineage: Eukaryota; Viridiplantae; Streptophyta; Lycopodiopsida; Selaginellales; Selaginellaceae.
ACUGCCUUGAGAGCUGGCAAGUGAUCGGCCCAGUUGAAUGCACCGAGCAGCUCGAAUCCUUCCCUCACCAUCUCAGAAAGCUGAGCAGCAUUUUCAGAGCCAUCCUCGAACCUCCUGCCGAACACCGUCUGCAUGAUAUUGUUGAGCGAAGCUCGCUGGAGAAAGUCCCGGACUCGGACAAGGCCGUGGUUGUCUGCUGCAAAGCAAUCUGGCGUGGAGAGAACAGAUAGUUGGAGGCAAUCCUUCGCAGGUUACGCCAGUAAUCUCCAUAGGGAGCGAAGCCGAUUGCUCGUCCAAAGAGGAGCUGCUGAGCCGACUGCUUGAGGGGCCUGUCCGCGAACUCGGAACUGUUGAGCAGCUCUCGUGCUACUUCCGGCUUGCUGGUGAUGAUCAUCCUCGUGUUACCCAGGCUGAAGGCCAUGAGCUCCUUUGCAUGGUGCUUCUCGGCAAGCGCGGCCAACUUGCGAUGAGCUUGGCCUCCCAUCUCAGUCAAGACUCCAAGCACUGGCCAUCCUCGGGGUCCCGGGAUCGUCUGCUUCCUCUUCAGCGUCCUUCCCCAUGCAUUGCCGCCAGGAACAAACCAGGAAGCCAGGAUCGCCGAGACAGCAGCUAGAACAAAAAUGGCCACAGCAGCGACAAAUCGCCAUGCAUGAUCGUUGGCUUCAGCAGACAGAUGCCGGGAGCAAAAAGGCAGAGUGAGGAUCCACCAGUCGAAUCCAGAAGCCGACUCCAUGAUCAGAGCACUCACUUGGAGAGAAAGAAGAGAACCCGAGGCAGGAGACUGAGAUAUGAAAGCUCUCGCGGCAUGGGUCUUAUAUAGUGACCAAGGAGGAGAUUACUUUGCGACUGGUGGCUCAAGGGGAGUGCUCCAAAUUGGUAAUUACUCCGAGAUUACGCACUGUGGAUGGGCUUGAAUUCGCUUGUACUGUACACGAGCGCAACAACAACUAGAGAGGCUCAUCGCAUCUCGGAGCCAAGGACUGGGGGAGCCUCUCGCCUCAUUCAUUGAGGAGAUGAAGUUCAGAUGUCCAUCUGAACCGAAUACAACUGGGAGGAGUUACUUAAAGCCAAGAGCUUAAAGUUUCGUUCUUACAAUUUUUCAUACAAAAGCUGCAUACCAUCACCUUGGCGUUGCGAGAGCUCUCAGAGGGAUGGCGAAGCCGUUUACCUUUCAGUCUUAGAGGAGCUGGCGGAUGCAAGCGGAAAGUCUCCUUGACCACGGCUUUGAGGGUUGAUUUCUUAUUAGCUCCGAGAGUGCCCACUCCAUGGCGAUGGCCGCCGUGUCAGUUCCUCCGGCAAACAAUCGUUAUCAAAGUCAUCCAGUGACAGCAUCACGUCGAUCAGAUCUGGAGCUUGAUUGUCAACUUUGUCGAGAGUGAUCCUUUGCAGCACCUUGUCCAGUUUCUUGUGUGCUGCUUUCAUGGCUCCAACUGCGUUUUGGUAAUCCAGCCAGCCCAAGAAGGGCCCAAGACGAAAGCUCCCAUAAAAUCCACUGCCUCUCGCACCAGCUCCACAAACAGUGAGUCCUCAAAUCUCUCGUUGCCAUAUGAAACAUAGAAAACAUGCUUGGCAACUGAGAUCUUUGGCCUUGAUGGAAAAUGGAUGUCAUAAAUGGAGAGAAAAGCUUUUGCUGCAUCUGGGGAGGACACCACAAUGGUUGGGACUACACCAAGUUUGAUACUCAUGAUGGGACCAAAUCUUUCAGAGAGUUUGGACAGGGAUUUGUAAGAGUGAGUUCUCAGCAAAUGCAAAUGCCCAAUAAGUGGAAGUCCAUUUGGUCCUGGUGGGA